Molecule: ribosomal RNA, 1454 nt
Filed under: Klebsiella sp. ok1_1_9_S22
Lineage: Bacteria; Pseudomonadati; Pseudomonadota; Gammaproteobacteria; Enterobacterales; Enterobacteriaceae
Description: bacterial SSU rRNA
Rfam family: Bacterial small subunit ribosomal RNA
Source: RNAcentral
UGAACGCUGGCGGCAGGCCUAACACAUGCAAGUCGAGCGGUAGCACAGAGAGCUUGCUCUCGGGUGACGAGCGGCGGACGGGUGAGUAAUGUCUGGGAAACUGCCUGAUGGAGGGGGAUAACUACUGGAAACGGUAGCUAAUACCGCAUAAUGUCGCAAGACCAAAGUGGGGGACCUUCGGGCCUCAUGCCAUCAGAUGUGCCCAGAUGGGAUUAGCUAGUAGGUGGGGUAACGGCUCACCUAGGCGACGAUCCCUAGCUGGUCUGAGAGGAUGACCAGCCACACUGGAACUGAGACACGGUCCAGACUCCUACGGGAGGCAGCAGUGGGGAAUAUUGCACAAUGGGCGCAAGCCUGAUGCAGCCAUGCCGCGUGUGUGAAGAAGGCCUUCGGGUUGUAAAGCACUUUCAGCGGGGAGGAAGGCGGUAAGGUUAAUAACCUCAUCGAUUGACGUUACCCGCAGAAGAAGCACCGGCUAACUCCGUGCCAGCAGCCGCGGUAAUACGGAGGGUGCAAGCGUUAAUCGGAAUUACUGGGCGUAAAGCGCACGCAGGCGGUCUGUCAAGUCGGAUGUGAAAUCCCCGGGCUCAACCUGGGAACUGCAUUCGAAACUGGCAGGCUAGAGUCUUGUAGAGGGGGGUAGAAUUCCAGGUGUAGCGGUGAAAUGCGUAGAGAUCUGGAGGAAUACCGGUGGCGAAGGCGGCCCCCUGGACAAAGACUGACGCUCAGGUGCGAAAGCGUGGGGAGCAAACAGGAUUAGAUACCCUGGUAGUCCACGCCGUAAACGAUGUCGAUUUGGAGGUUGUGCCCUUGAGGCGUGGCUUCCGGAGCUAACGCGUUAAAUCGACCGCCUGGGGAGUACGGCCGCAAGGUUAAAACUCAAAUGAAUUGACGGGGGCCCGCACAAGCGGUGGAGCAUGUGGUUUAAUUCGAUGCAACGCGAAGAACCUUACCUGGUCUUGACAUCCACAGAACUUUCCAGAGAUGGAUUGGUGCCUUCGGGAACUGUGAGACAGGUGCUGCAUGGCUGUCGUCAGCUCGUGUUGUGAAAUGUUGGGUUAAGUCCCGCAACGAGCGCAACCCUUAUCCUUUGUUGCCAGCGGUCCGGCCGGGAACUCAAAGGAGACUGCCAGUGAUAAACUGGAGGAAGGUGGGGAUGACGUCAAGUCAUCAUGGCCCUUACGACCAGGGCUACACACGUGCUACAAUGGCAUAUACAAAGAGAAGCGACCUCGCGAGAGCAAGCGGACCUCAUAAAGUAUGUCGUAGUCCGGAUUGGAGUCUGCAACUCGACUCCAUGAAGUCGGAAUCGCUAGUAAUCGUAGAUCAGAAUGCUACGGUGAAUACGUUCCCGGGCCUUGUACACACCGCCCGUCACACCAUGGGAGUGGGUUGCAAAAGAAGUAGGUAGCUUAACCUUCGGGAGGGCGCUUACCACUUUGUGAUUCAUGACU